Molecule: long non-coding RNA, 186 nt
Organism: Nematostella vectensis (starlet sea anemone)
Lineage: Eukaryota; Metazoa; Cnidaria; Anthozoa; Actiniaria; Edwardsiidae
Exons: 2
Source: RefSeq, a predicted model, not a curated record
ACGCAAGCACAUUGAUGAUGCUAAGCGUGACAGCUUCGACGUACGUAAGCCCAUCGGCCAUAGUCGACGAUCUUUAAGAAAUCAUAAAUAUCAAAACAAAUAAGGUGGAGGAGGCAUAUGGAAGAAGAAGACGAAGAAUAAGAACUAGAAGAAGAAGCAGAAGAAAAAGUAAGAAAGAAGAAGAAC